Molecule: ribosomal RNA, 398 nt
Filed under: uncultured bacterium
Lineage: Bacteria
Description: bacterial SSU rRNA
Rfam family: Bacterial small subunit ribosomal RNA
Source: RNAcentral
UAUAUAGUAAAAUUUAAUUUAGUAUUAGAAGUACUCCCUAUUAAUUUAGGACUAAUCUACUAAUAAACGCUAUUUGUUAGUUUUAAAAAGUUAAAACUGUAACUAAAAAAGAGUUCAUAUCUGUAUUAGCUAAUUAAUAAGAUAAUAACUUAUUAAGGACGAAGAUCAGUAGCUCGCCCUGAGAGGGGGACCAGCCACAUUGGGAUUGAAAUACAGCCCAAACUCCUACGGGAGGCUGCAGUGAGGAAUCUUCUGCAAUGAGCGCAAGCUUGACAGAGCAUCGUCACGUGAAGGAAGACAGCUAAUUAUUAUAGUUGUAAACUUCUUUUACUUAAAAAUGAAUACUGACAUUUAAGUAAAUAAAGUAUCGGCAAACUCCGUGCCAGCAGCCGCGGUAA